RNAcentral lists this ribosomal RNA (253 nucleotides) under uncultured bacterium. RNAcentral describes it as "partial 16S ribosomal RNA". It matches the Rfam family "Bacterial small subunit ribosomal RNA", at positions 524 to 776 of the family's 1533-position model. The record is from RNAcentral.
UACGGAGGGUGCAAGCGUUGUUCGGAUUUAUUGGGCGUAAAGCGCGUGUAGGCGGUUUCUUAAGUCUGAUGUGAAAGCCCUGGGCUCAACCCAGGAAGUGCAUUGGAUACUGGGAGACUUGAAUACGGGAGAGGGUAGUGGAAUUCCUAGUGUAGGAGUGAAAUCCGUAGAUAUUAGGAGGAACACCGGUGGCGAAGGCGGCUACCUGGACCGAUAUUGACGCUGGGACGCGAAAGCGUGGGGAGCAAACAGG